RNAcentral lists this ribosomal RNA (337 nucleotides) under Porphyromonas gingivalis. RNAcentral's name for it is "bacterial SSU rRNA". It matches the Rfam family "Bacterial small subunit ribosomal RNA", at positions 775 to 1113 of the family's 1533-position model. The record is from RNAcentral. Lineage: Bacteria; Pseudomonadati; Bacteroidota; Bacteroidia; Bacteroidales; Porphyromonadaceae.
GGAUUAGAUACCCUGGUAGUCCACGCAGUAAACGAUGAUUACUAGGAGUUUGCGAUAUACCGUCAAGCUUCCACAGCGAAAGCGUUAAGUAAUCCACCUGGGGAGUACGCCGGCAACGGUGAAACUCAAAGGAAUUGACGGGGGCCCGCACAAGCGGAGGAACAUGUGGUUUAAUUCGAUGAUACGCGAGGAACCUUACCCGGGAUUGAAAUGUAGACGACGGAUGGUGAAAGCCGUCUUCCCUUCGGGGCGUCUAUGUAGGUGCUGCAUGGUUGUCGUCAGCUCGUGCCGUGAGGUGUCGGCUUAAGUGCCAUAACGAGCGCAACCCACAUCGGUA